UUGAGGGGGUGUGUUUCCGGCUUUUAGAAGAGGUGGGCGGAUUCGGCGGGUGCGAGGUCACCCACCAGAUGUGUAACCUGCUGUCUGCUGAAGCGAACCUCUGAGUUGAAAUGAGACAUGGUGAAAAAAGGUCCCCAGGGAGCAAAUCUGAAAGCCGGCUUCUCCAGAACAUAGACUGCCAGGGGACGAGACGACUUUAGACACCGUCCCCAGCAGAUUGAUAGAUGAAGCAUAAAACAAGACCAGAUGCUGUGGUUUCCAGGAUGCACUUGGCUUCCCAUCCCUUAUAACCUGGAGCAUUUUUUGCUUAAGUUCAGUUCAGUUCAGUCACUUAGUUGUGUCUGACUCCUUGCGACCCCAUGAAUCGCAGCACGCCAGGCCUCCCUGUC
Molecule: long non-coding RNA, 389 nt
Filed under: Bos indicus x Bos taurus (hybrid cattle)
Lineage: Eukaryota; Metazoa; Chordata; Mammalia; Artiodactyla; Bovidae
Description: lncRNA (ENSBIXG00005023252.1)
Source: RNAcentral